RNAcentral lists this ribosomal RNA (1443 nucleotides) under metagenome. RNAcentral describes it as "bacterial SSU rRNA". It matches the Rfam family "Bacterial small subunit ribosomal RNA". The record is from RNAcentral.
AGAGUUUGAUCCUGGCUCAGGAUGAAUGCUGGCGGCGUGUCUAAGGCAUGCAAGUUGAAAGAUUAAUUUAUUAAUCUUGGCAAACGGGAGAGUAACACAUUGGUAAUCUGCCCCGGGGACGAGAAUAACUCAGAGAAAUUUGAGAUAAUACUCGAUAUUAGUGGGGGGACAUAAGUCAUUCCUACUUAAAGUUCCGGCGCCUCGGGAGGAGCCUAUGGUCUAUCAGCUCGCUGGUGAGGUAAAAGCUCACCAAGGCUACGACGGAUAGCGGGUGUGAGAGCAUGACCCGUCUCACUGGGACUGAGACACUGCCCAGACUCCUACGGGAGGCUGCAGUCAAGAAUAUUCCUCAAUGGCCGAAAGGCUGAAGGAGCGACGCCGCGUGUACGAAGAAGCUUUUCGGAGUGUAAAGUACUUUUAUUAGGGACGAAACAAUGACGGUACCUAAUGAAUAAGGGGCUGCUAACCUCGUGCCAGCAGCAGCGGUAAUACGAGGGCCCCAAGCAUUAUCCGGAUUUAUUGGGCGUAAAGGGUACGUAGGCGGUUUAUCGCAUCUUUCGUUAAAUCUUGUGGCUCAACCACGAGGCUGCGGAAGAGAUGGGUAAACUAGAGUUCGGUAGAGGCAAGCGGAAUUGCUGGUGUAGGGGUUAAAUCCGUUAAUAUCAGCAGGAACACCAAAUGCGAAGGCAGCUUGCUAGAACGAUACUGACGCUAAGGUACGAAAGCGUGGGGAGCGAAUGGGAUUAGAUACCCCAGUAGUCCACGCCGUAAGCGAUGGAUGCUAAGCAUUGGGAGUUUCGACCCUCUCAGUGCUGUCUAACUAAGUUAACACGUUAAGCAUCCCGCCUGGGGAGUACGAGCGCAAGCUUGAAACUCAAAGGAAUAGACGGGGACCCGCACAAGCGGUGGAGCAUGUGGUUUAAUUCGACGAUAAGCGAGAAACCUCACCUAGGUUUGAAAUAUAGCUGCAAGCCCUGGAAACAGGGUCGCCUUCGAGGGUGCUAUACAGGUGCUGCAUGGUUGCCGUCAGCUCGUGUCGUGAGAUGUACCGUUAAGUCGGAAAACGAGCGCAACCCCUAUCCUAUGUUUUACAUGUCAUAGGAAACUGCCCGCCUCAAGUGGGAGGAAGGAAGGGACGACGUCAAAUCAGCAUGGUCCUUACACCUAGGGCUACACACGUGCUACAAUGGGAAGUACAAAGGGACGCCAAACCGUAAGGUGGAGCAAACCCCCCAAAACUUUCCUCAGUUCGGAUCGAGGUCUGCAAUUCGACCUCGUGAAGUCGGAAUCGCUAGUAAACGCGUAUCAGCUACGGCGCGUUGAAUACGUUCUCGGGUCUUGUACUCACCGCCCGUCACGUCAAGAGAGUCGAUAAUACCCAAAGGCUGUGCCUAGCACGGACGAAGGUAGGAUUGGCGAUAGGGACGAAGUCGUAACAAGGCA